RNAcentral lists this ribosomal RNA (254 nucleotides) under uncultured bacterium. RNAcentral describes it as "partial 16S ribosomal RNA". It matches the Rfam family "Bacterial small subunit ribosomal RNA", at positions 524 to 776 of the family's 1533-position model. The record is from RNAcentral.
CACGUACUGUGCGAACGUUAUUCGGAAUCACUGGGCUUAAAGGGUGCGUAGGCGGCCCUGGUAAGUCUGCGGUGAAAGCCCGGGGCUCAACCCCGGGUCGGCCGCGGGUACUGCCGGGCUGGAGUGCCGUAGGGGCAGGCGGAAUUCCGGGUGUAGCGGUGGAAUGCGUAGAGAUCCGGAAGAACACCGGUGGCGAAGGCGGCCUGCUGGGCGGCGACUGACGCUGAGGCGCGACAGCGUGGGGAGCAAACAGG